CACUCCUGCGGGAGGCAGCAGUGGGGAAUUUUACGCAAUGGGGGAAACCCUGACGUAGCGACACCGCGUGAGCGAAGAAGCCCUUUGGGGUGUAAAGCUCUGUCAGCUGGAACGAAAACAAUGACGGUACCAGCAGAGGAAGCAUCGGCUAACUACGUGCCAGCAGCCGCGGUAAGACGUAGGAUGCGAGCGUUGUCCGGAUUUAUUGGGCGUAAAGAGUUCGUAGGUGGUUUGUUAAGUUUGGUGUUAAAGAUCGGGGCUCAACCCUGGGACUGCACUGAAUACUGGCAGACUCGAGUGUGGUAGAGGCUAGUGGAAUUCCCAGUGUAGCGGUGAAAUGCGUAGAUAUUGGGAAGAACACCGGUGGCGUAGGCGACUUGCUGGGCCAUAACUGACGCUGAGGAACGAAAGCCAGGGGAGCGAAUGGGAUUAGAAACCCCAGUAGUCCC
Molecule: ribosomal RNA, 449 nt
Filed under: uncultured organism
Description: partial 16S ribosomal RNA
Rfam family: Bacterial small subunit ribosomal RNA
Source: RNAcentral